Oncorhynchus tshawytscha (Chinook salmon) is the source of this 1235-nucleotide long non-coding RNA. The record is from Ensembl. Lineage: Eukaryota; Metazoa; Chordata; Actinopteri; Salmoniformes; Salmonidae.
AAAAUGUUGAGCACACAACAGUUCACCUGACACAAGACUGAAUCCAAACAUUACUGUUGAUUUGAUAUUUUUCUGUACUUUAGGCCACAUUGAUGACAUGUUACUGAACAGCCAUUGCGUUCCAAUUUCAACCUGUAUUUGGGUGUAAAGUGUUAAUGGCAUAUAAUAACAUGUAGUAGUUUUAUUAUUCUAUAAUAUUAUUAAUAUGGGUUCGUUGCUGAGUGUUGAAACAUGGUGCCAAUUUCAAGGCUAUAUUUCUUGAAUUGAUUUCAGAAUGUGUUGACCCUGAUUUGUUAGAUACCCCCCCCCCAGCAUUUACAAGCUGACUUGUUUAUACAUUUAGGAUGUUUCUAAAAAUCUGUUUUAUACCAGGUUCUAACAUGCAUCCUUUUGUCCUGAUCUGGUCCACAUUCUGAUUGUGACCACAUUUUAAGACCGGGUGUAGACAAUUAAAGGACACGUUGCGAUCAGAUCUUCCUGCCUACCCCCGGAGGUAUUCAGGUACACAUUGUGCAGAUGCAUCUGGACAGAUGGUUGCUGAUAAUGGGCCUCUGUACACCUAUGUAGAUAAUCCAUACAAAAUUAGCUGUUUCCAGCUACAAUAGUCAUUUACAACAUUUAACCAUGUCUACACUGUAUUUAUGAUGAAUUUGAUGUUAUUUUAAUAGACAAAAUGUGCUUUUCCUUCUAAAAGGACAUUUCUAAGUGACCCCAACCUUUUGAACGGUAGUAUAUGUUUAUAUAUAAAGCUACAGUCAUAGUCCCAAAUGGAACCCUAUUCACUAGAACAUAUAAAGCUACAGUCAUAGUCCCAAAUGGAACCCUAUUCUCUAGAACAUAUGAAGCUACAGUCAUAGUCCCAAAUGGAACCCUAUUCACUAGGAAAUAUAUAUAAAGCUACAGUCAGUCGUAGUCCCAAAUAGAACCCAAUUCUCUAGGACAUAUAAAGCUACAGUCGUAGUCCAAAAUGGAACCCUAUCUCUAGGACAUAUAAAGCUACAGUCAUAUCCCAAAUGGAACCCUAUUCUCUAGGACAUAUAUAUAAAGCUACAGUCAUAGUCCCAAAUAGAACCCUAUUCUCUGGGACAUAUAUAUAAAGCUACAGUCGUAGUCCCAAAUAGAACCCUAUUCUCUAGGACAUACAGUGCCUUGCGAAAGUAUUCGGCCCCCUUGAACUUUGCGACCUUUUGCCACAUUUCAGGCUUCAAACAUAAAGAUAUAAAACUGUAUUUUUU